UUGGGACCCUUUUGAGGGCUUCCCUUUGUCAAGCUCGGUAGUCAAUAUCCCAAGCUCUGCCCGCGAAACUUCUGCAUUUGCAAAUGCUCGCAUAGACUGGAAAGAGACUCCAGAGGGCCAUGUAUUCAAGGCCGAUCUUCCUGGGCUGAAGAAGGAAGAGGUGAAGGUGGAGGUUGAAGAAGGUGGAGUGCUCCAGAUAAGUGGAGAGAGGAGCAAAGAGCAAGAGGAAAAGAAUGAUAAGUGGCAUCGCGUGGAGAGGAGCAGCGGCAAGUUCCUCCGCCGGUUCAGGCUGCCGGAAAAUGCAAAGACGGAUCAGGUGAAGGCUAGCAUGGAGAAUGGUGUGCUCACUGUCACUGUGCCUAAAGAGGAAAUAAAGAAGC
RNAcentral lists this long non-coding RNA (380 nucleotides) under Olea europaea (common olive). Its description in RNAcentral is "long non-coding RNA (OEUR_LNC012036)". The record is from RNAcentral. Lineage: Eukaryota; Viridiplantae; Streptophyta; Magnoliopsida; Lamiales; Oleaceae.